This 2923-nucleotide ribosomal RNA is filed under the name Staphylococcus aureus. RNAcentral describes it as "23S ribosomal RNA". It matches the Rfam family "Bacterial large subunit ribosomal RNA". The record is from RNAcentral. Lineage: Bacteria; Bacillati; Bacillota; Bacilli; Caryophanales; Staphylococcaceae.
GAUUAAGUUAUUAAGGGCGCACGGUGGAUGCCUUGGCACUAGAAGCCGAUGAAGGACGUUACUAACGACGAUAUGCUUUGGGGAGCUGUAAGUAAGCUUUGAUCCAGAGAUUUCCGAAUGGGGAAACCCAGCAUGAGUUAUGUCAUGUUAUCGAUAUGUGAAUACAUAGCAUAUCAGAAGGCACACCCGGAGAACUGAAACAUCUUAGUACCCGGAGGAAGAGAAAGAAAAUUCGAUUCCCUUAGUAGCGGCGAGCGAAACGGGAAGAGCCCAAACCAACAAGCUUGCUUGUUGGGGUUGUAGGACACUCUAUACGGAGUUACAAAGGACGACAUUAGACGAAUCAUCUGGAAAGAUGAAUCAAAGAAGGUAAUAAUCCUGUAGUCGAAAAUGUUGUCUCUCUUGAGUGGAUCCUGAGUACGACGGAGCACGUGAAAUUCCGUCGGAAUCUGGGAGGACCAUCUCCUAAGGCUAAAUACUCUCUAGUGACCGAUAGUGAACCAGUACCGUGAGGGAAAGGUGAAAAGCACCCCGGAAGGGGAGUGAAAUAGAACCUGAAACCGUGUGCUUACAAGUAGUCAGAGCCCGUUAAUGGGUGAUGGCGUGCCUUUUGUAGAAUGAACCGGCGAGUUACGAUUUGAUGCAAGGUUAAGCAGUAAAUGUGGAGCCGUAGCGAAAGCGAGUCUGAAUAGGGCGUUUAGUAUUUGGUCGUAGACCCGAAACCAGGUGAUCUACCCUUGGUCAGGUUGAAGUUCAGGUAACACUGAAUGGAGGACCGAACCGACAUACGUUGAAAAGUGAGCGGAUGAACUGAGGGUAGCGGAGAAAUUCCAAUCGAACCUGGAGAUAGCUGGUUCUCUCCGAAAUAGCUUUAGGGCUAGCCUCAAGUGAUGAUUAUUGGAGGUAGAGCACUGUUUGGACGAGGGGCCCCUCUCGGGUUACCGAAUUCAGACAAACUCCGAAUGCCAAUUAAUUUAACUUGGGAGUCAGAACAUGGGUGAUAAGGUCCGUGUUCGAAAGGGAAACAGCCCAGACCACCAGCUAAGGUCCCAAAAUAUAUGUUAAGUGGAAAAGGAUGUGGCGUUGCCCAGACAACUAGGAUGUUGGCUUAGAAGCAGCCAUCAUUUAAAGAGUGCGUAAUAGCUCACUAGUCGAGUGACACUGCGCCGAAAAUGUACCGGGGCUAAACAUGUUACCGAAGCUGUGGAUUGUCCUUUGGACAAUGGUAGGAGAGCGUUCUAAGGGCGUUGAAGCAUGAUCGUAAGGACAUGUGGAGCGCUUAGAAGUGAGAAUGCCGGUGUGAGUAGCGAAAGACGGGUGAGAAUCCCGUCCACCGAUUGACUAAGGUUUCCAGAGGAAGGCUCGUCCGCUCUGGGUUAGUCGGGUCCUAAGCUGAGGCCGACAGGCGUAGGCGAUGGAUAACAGGUUGAUAUUCCUGUACCACCUAUAAUCGUUUUAAUCGAUGGGGGGACGCAGUAGGAUAGGCGAAGCGUGCGAUUGGAUUGCACGUCUAAGCAGUAAGGCUGAGUAUUAGGCAAAUCCGGUACUCGUUAAGGCUGAGCUGUGAUGGGGAGAAGACAUUGUGUCUUCGAGUCGUUGAUUUCACACUGCCGAGAAAAGCCUCUAGAUAGAAAAUAGGUGCCCGUACCGCAAACCGACACAGGUAGUCAAGAUGAGAAUUCUAAGGUGAGCGAGCGAACUCUCGUUAAGGAACUCGGCAAAAUGACCCCGUAACUUCGGGAGAAGGGGUGCUCUUUAGGGUUAACGCCCAGAAGAGCCGCAGUGAAUAGGCCCAAGCGACUGUUUAUCAAAAACACAGGUCUCUGCUAAACCGUAAGGUGAUGUAUAGGGGCUGACGCCUGCCCGGUGCUGGAAGGUUAAGAGGAGUGGUUAGCUUCUGCGAAGCUACGAAUCGAAGCCCCAGUAAACGGCGGCCGUAACUAUAACGGUCCUAAGGUAGCGAAAUUCCUUGUCGGGUAAGUUCCGACCCGCACGAAAGGCGUAACGAUUUGGGCACUGUCUCAACGAGAGACUCGGUGAAAUCAUAGUACCUGUGAAGAUGCAGGUUACCCGCGACAGGACGGAAAGACCCCGUGGAGCUUUACUGUAGCCUGAUAUUGAAAUUUGGCACAGCUUGUACAGGAUAGGUAGGAGCCUUUGAAACGUGAGCGCUAGCUUACGUGGAGGCGCUGGUGGGAUACUACCCUAGCUGUGUUGGCUUUCUAACCCGCACCACUUAUCGUGGUGGGAGACAGUGUCAGGCGGGCAGUUUGACUGGGGCGGUCGCCUCCUAAAAGGUAACGGAGGCGCUCAAAGGUUCCCUCAGAAUGGUUGGAAAUCAUUCAUAGAGUGUAAAGGCAUAAGGGAGCUUGACUGCGAGACCUACAAGUCGAGCAGGGUCGAAAGACGGACUUAGUGAUCCGGUGGUUCCGCAUGGAAGGGCCAUCGCUCAACGGAUAAAAGCUACCCCGGGGAUAACAGGCUUAUCUCCCCCAAGAGUUCACAUCGACGGGGAGGUUUGGCACCUCGAUGUCGGCUCAUCGCAUCCUGGGGCUGUAGUCGGUCCCAAGGGUUGGGCUGUUCGCCCAUUAAAGCGGUACGCGAGCUGGGUUCAGAACGUCGUGAGACAGUUCGGUCCCUAUCCGUCGUGGGCGUAGGAAAUUUGAGAGGAGCUGUCCUUAGUACGAGAGGACCGGGAUGGACAUACCUCUGGUGUACCAGUUGUCGUGCCAACGGCAUAGCUGGGUAGCUAUGUGUGGACGGGAUAAGUGCUGAAAGCAUCUAAGCAUGAAGCCCCCCUCAAGAUGAGAUUUCCCAACUUCGGUUAUAAGAUCCCUCAAAGAUGAUGAGGUUAAUAGGUUCGAGGUGGAAGCAUGGUGACAUGUGGAGCUGACGAAUACUAAUCGAUCGAAGACUUAAUCAA